This 422-nucleotide ribosomal RNA is filed under the name uncultured bacterium. RNAcentral describes it as "bacterial SSU rRNA". It matches the Rfam family "Bacterial small subunit ribosomal RNA", at positions 355 to 775 of the family's 1533-position model. The record is from RNAcentral.
UAGGGAAUAUUGGACAAUGGGUGCAAGCCUGAUCCAGCCAUGCCGCGUGCAGGAAGAAAGCCUUCUGGGUUGUAAACUGCUUUUCUCUGGGGAUAAAAUACCCGUGCGCGGGAAAUUGAAGGUACCAGAGGAAUAAGCCACGGCUAACUACGUGCCAGCAGCCGCGGUAAUACGUAGGUGGCAAGCGUUGUCCGGAUUUAUUGGGUUUAAAGGGUGCGUAGGCGGUUUUCUAAGUCAGCAGUGAAAUACGGCAGCUCAACUGUCGAGGUGCUGUUGAUACUGGGGAACUUGAGUACUGAUGAGGUAGGCGGAAUGGACGGUGUAGCGGUGAAAUGCUUAGAGAUCGUCCAGAACACCGAUAGCGAAGGCAGCUUACUAAGGAGUAACUGACGCUGAGGCACGAAAGUGUGGGGAUCAAACAG